UGGGAAUAUUGGACAAUGGGCGCAAGCCUGAUCCAGCCAUGCCGCGUGAGUGAUGAAGGCCUUAGGGUUGUAAAGCUCUUUCGACGGGGACGAUAAUGACGGUACCCGUAGAAGAAGCCCCGGCUAACUUCGUGCCAGCAGCCGCGGUAAUACGAAGGGGGCUAGCGUUGCUCGGAAUCACUGGGCGUAAAGGGCGCGUAGGCGGACGUUUAAGUCAGAGGUGAAAGCCCAGGGCUCAACCCUGGAAUGGCCUUUGAUACUGGACGUCUUGAGUCUGGUAGAGGUUGGUGGAACUGCGAGUGUAGAGGUGAAAUUCGUAGAUAUUCGCAAGAACACCGGUGGCGAAGGCGGCCAACUGGACCAGAACUGACGCUGAGGCGCGAAAGCGUGGGGAGCAAACAGGAUUAGAUACCCUGGUAGUCCACGCCGUAAACGAUGGAUGCUAGCCGUUGGCCGGUUUACCGGUCAGUGGCGCAGCUAACGCGUUAAGCAUCCCGCCUGGGGAGUACGGCCGCAAGGUUAAAACUCAAAGGAAUUGACGGGGUCAUAGCUGUUUCCU
RNAcentral lists this ribosomal RNA (559 nucleotides) under uncultured bacterium. Its description in RNAcentral is "partial 16S ribosomal RNA". It matches the Rfam family "Bacterial small subunit ribosomal RNA", at positions 356 to 1375 of the family's 1533-position model. The record is from RNAcentral.